This 85-nucleotide transfer RNA is filed under the name Pseudotsuga menziesii var. glauca. RNAcentral describes it as "tRNA-Ser". The record is from RNAcentral. Lineage: Eukaryota; Viridiplantae; Streptophyta; Pinopsida; Pinales; Pinaceae.
CGGACUGUAAAUCCGUUGGCAAGGGGACGGACUGUAAACCAGCGUUGGCAAUAUGCCUACGCUGGUUCAAAUCCAGCUCGACCCA